RNAcentral lists this ribosomal RNA (468 nucleotides) under uncultured bacterium. RNAcentral describes it as "partial 16S ribosomal RNA". It matches the Rfam family "Bacterial small subunit ribosomal RNA", at positions 28 to 507 of the family's 1533-position model. The record is from RNAcentral.
GAUGAACGCUGGCGGCGUGCUUAAUACAUGCAAGUCGAACGGAAAGACCAUGCUUUUGUGGGUUGCUCGUGUGCCGAGCGCGUGAGUAAAACGUGUGUAACCUCCCCUUGUCUUUGGGAUAUCUUCUCGAGACUGGGGCUAAUACAGGAUAGGAGCUCUUGCUGCAUGGUGGGGGUUGGAGAGUGUCGGCGGUUGGGGAUGGACUCGCGGCUUAUCAGCUUGUUUGUGGGGUAGUGGCUUACCAAGCGUUUGACGGGUAGCCGGCCUGAGAGGGUGAACGGGGACAUGGCGACUGAGAGACGGCGCAGACUCGAAUGGGAGGCAGCAGGGGGGAAUAUUGCACAAUGAGCGGAAGCCUGAUGCAGCAAUGCCGCGUGCGGGAUGAUGGCUUUCGGGUGAUAAACCGCUUUCGCCGGUGAUGAAGCGUGAGUGACGGUAAUGAGUAAAGAAGCAACGGCUAACUACGUG